AUAGAAACAUUGAAACAUGGGUUCCCAUACAAUCACCAAAAUUAAGCAACAUUGAGCCUGGUCAGUACUUAGAUGUGUGACUGCUUGGGAAUACUAGGUGCUGUAAG
Molecule: ribosomal RNA, 107 nt
Filed under: Acanthosepion pharaonis
Lineage: Eukaryota; Metazoa; Mollusca; Cephalopoda; Sepiida; Sepiidae
Source: RNAcentral